Molecule: ribosomal RNA, 357 nt
Filed under: uncultured bacterium
Lineage: Bacteria
Description: bacterial SSU rRNA
Rfam family: Bacterial small subunit ribosomal RNA
Source: RNAcentral
GAGUUUUGAUCCUGGCUCAGGAUGAACGCUAGCUACAGGCUUAACACAUGCAAGUCGAGGGGAAACGACAUCGAAAGCUUGCUUUUGAUGGGCGUCGACCGGCGCACGGGUGAGUAACGCGUAUCCAACCUCGCCCACCACUUGGGGAUAACCUUGCGAAAGUAAGACUAAUACCCAAUGAUAUCUCUAGAAGACAUCUGAAAGAGAUUAAAGAUUUAUCGGUGAUGGAUGGGGAUGCGUCUGAUUAGCUUGUUGGCGGGGUAACGGCCCACCAAGGCAACGAUCAGUAGGGGUUCUGAGAGGAAGGUCCCCCACAUUGGAACUGAGACACGGUCCAAACUCCAACGGGAGGCAGCA